CAGUGUGUGUGUUAGUGGAAGCGUCUGGAAAGGCGCGCGAUACAGGGUGACAGCCCCGUACACAAAAAUGCACAUGCUGUGAGCUCGAUGAGUAGGGCGGGACACGUGGUAUCCUGUCUGAAUAUGGGGGGACCAUCCUCCAAGGCUAAAUACUCCUGACUGACCGAUAGUGAACCAGUACCGUGAGGGAAAGGCGAAAAGAACCCCGGCGAGGGGAGUGAAAAAGAACCUGAAACCGUGUACGUACAAGCAGUGGGAGCACGCUUAGGCGUGUGACUGCGUACCUUUUGUAUAAUGGGUCAGCGACUUAUAUUCUGUAGCAAGGUUAACCGAAUAGGGGAGCCGAAGGGAAACCGAGUCUUAACUGGGCGUUAAGUUGCAGGGUAUAGACCCGAAACCCGGUGAUCUAGCCAUGGGCAGGUUGAAGGUUGGGUAACACUAACUGGAGGACCGAACCGACUAAUGUUGAAAAAUUAGCGGAUGACUUGUGGCUGGGGGUGAAAGGCCAAUCAAACCGGGAGAUAGCUGGUUCUCCCCGAAAGCUAUUUAGGUAGCGCCUCGUGAACUCAUCUCCGGGGGUAGAGCACUGUUUCGGCAAGGGGGUCAUCCCGACUUACCAACCCGAUGCAAACUGCGAAUACCGGAGAAUGUUAUCACGGGAGACACACGGCGGGUGCUAACGUCCGUCGUGAAGAGGGAAACAACCCAGACCGCCAGCUAAGGUCCCAAAGUCAUGGUUAAGUGGGAAACGAUGUGGGAAGGCCCAGACAGCCAGGAUGUUGGCUUAGAAGCAGCCAUCAUUUAAAGAAAGCGUAAUAGCUCACUGGUCGAGUCGGCCUGCGCGGAAGAUGUAACGGGGCUAAACCAUGCACCGAAGCUGCGGCAGCGACGCUUAUGCGUUGUUGGGUAGGGGAGCGUUCUGUAAGCCUGUGAAGGUGUGCUGUGAGGCAUGCUGGAGGUAUCAGAAGUGCGAAUGCUGACAUAAGUAACGAUAAAGCGGGUGAAAAGCCCGCUCGCCGGAAGACCAAGGGUUCCUGUCCAACGUUAAUCGGGGCAGGGUGAGUCGACCCCUAAGGCGAGGCCGAAAGGCGUAGUCGAUGGGAAACAGGUUAAUAUUCCUGUACUUGGUGUUACUGCGAAGGGGGGACGGAGAAGGCUAUGUUGGCCGGGCGACGGUUGUCCCGGUUUAAGCGUGUAGGCUGGUUUUCCAGGCAAAUCCGGAAAAUCAAGGCUGAGGCGUGAUGACGAGGCACUACGGUGCUGAAGCAACAAAUGCCCUGCUUCCAGGAAAAGCCUCUAAGCAUCAGGUAACAUCAAAUCGUACCCCAAACCGACACAGGUGGUCAGGUAGAGAAUACCAAGGCGCUUGAGAGAACUCGGGUGAAGGAACUAGGCAAAAUGGUGCCGUAACUUCGGGAGAAGGCACGCUGAUAUGUAGGUGAAGUCCCUCGCGGAUGGAGCUGAAAUCAGUCGAAGAUACCAGCUGGCUGCAACUGUUUAUUAAAAACACAGCACUGUGCAAACACGAAAGUGGACGUAUACGGUGUGACGCCUGCCCGGUGCCGGAAGGUUAAUUGAUGGGGUCAGCGCAAGCGAAGCUCUUGAUCGAAGCCCCGGUAAACGGCGGCCGUAACUAUAACGGUCCUAAGGUAGCGAAAUUCCUUGUCGGGUAAGUUCCGACCUGCACGAAUGGCGUAAUGAUGGCCAGGCUGUCUCCACCCGAGACUCAGUGAAAUUGAACUCGCUGUGAAGAUGCAGUGUACCCGCGGCAAGACGGAAAGACCCCGUGAACCUUUACUAUAGCUUGACACUGAACAUUGAGCCUUGAUGUGUAGGAUAGGUGGGAGGCUUAGAAGUGUGGACGCCAGUCUGCAUGGAGCCGACCUUGAAAUACCACCCUUUAAUGUUUGAUGUUCUAACGUUGACCCGUAAUCCGGGUUGCGGACAGUGUCUGGUGGGUAGUUUGACUGGGGCGGUCUCCUCCUAAAGAGUAACGGAGGAGCACGAAGGUUGGCUAAUCCUGGUCGGACAUCAGGAGGUUAGUGCAAUGGCAUAAGCCAGCUUGACUGCGAGCGUGACGGCGCGAGCAGGUGCGAAAGCAGGUCAUAGUGAUCCGGUGGUUCUGAAUGGAAGGGCCAUCGCUCAACGGAUAAAAGGUACUCCGGGGAUAACAGGCUGAUACCGCCCAAGAGUUCAUAUCGACGGCGGUGUUUGGCACCUCGAUGUCGGCUCAUCACAUCCUGGGGCUGAAGUAGGUCCCAAGGGUAUGGCUGUUCGCCAUUUAAAGUGGUACGCGAGCUGGGUUUAGAACGUCGUGAGACAGUUCGGUCCCUAUCUGCCGUGGGCGCUGGAGAACUGAGGGGGGCUGCUCCUAGUACGAGAGGACCGGAGUGGACGCAUCACUGGUGUUCGGGUUGUCAUGCCAAUGGCACUGCCCGGUAGCUAAAUGCGGAAGAGAUAAGUGCUGAAAGCAUCUAAGCACGAAACUUGCCCCGAGAUGAGUUCUCCCUGACUCCUUGAGAGUCCUGAAGGAACGUUGAAGACGACGACGUUGAUAGGCCGGGUGUGUAAGCGCAGCGAUGCGUUGAGCUAACCGGUACUAAUGAACCGUGAGGCUUAACCUU
This 2624-nucleotide ribosomal RNA is filed under the name Escherichia coli MS 85-1. RNAcentral describes it as "bacterial LSU rRNA". It matches the Rfam family "Bacterial large subunit ribosomal RNA", at positions 318 to 2925 of the family's 2925-position model. The record is from RNAcentral. Lineage: Bacteria; Pseudomonadati; Pseudomonadota; Gammaproteobacteria; Enterobacterales; Enterobacteriaceae.